GUCUAUGUAGUAUACUAA
This 18-nucleotide transfer RNA is filed under the name Myotis lucifugus (little brown bat). RNAcentral's name for it is "partial tRNA-Thr". Lineage: Eukaryota; Metazoa; Chordata; Mammalia; Chiroptera; Vespertilionidae. The record is from RNAcentral. RNAcentral also lists the same sequence under 2 other names.